Molecule: ribosomal RNA, 740 nt
Filed under: Durinskia baltica
Lineage: Eukaryota; Dinophyceae; Peridiniales; Kryptoperidiniaceae
Description: partial Eukaryotic large subunit ribosomal RNA
Rfam family: Eukaryotic large subunit ribosomal RNA
Source: RNAcentral
AAGCGGGAUUACCCCCUGAAUUUAAGCAUAUUACUAAGGGGAGGAAAAGAACAUAACUAUGAUGCCCUCAGUAACGGCGAGUGAAGCGGGCAGAGCUCAAGUUGAGAAUCGGUCAGGCCAGCGUCUGUACCGAGAUGUAGAGUUUCGACGUGGUGUCAGCGAGUUGUAUGGAGUCAAGUCCUUUGAAACAAGGUAUCCGAGAGGGUGAGAAUCCCGUUGUCGAUCAGCUCUAUACCAAGCCGCGUACGACCCAUGCUCCGAGAGUCGAGUUGUUUGGGAUUGCAGCUCUAAGUGGGUGGUAAGUUUCAUCCAAAGCUAAAUACAGGCGAGAGACCGAUAGCGAACAAGUACCGUGAGGGAAAGAUGCAAAGAACUUUGAAAAGAGAGUUAAAUAGUACUUGAAAUUGUUAAGAGGGAAGCGAUAGAAACUAGUCGAGCGAGCGUCAAUUUGCGCUCGGAUCGUUGAACGCCCUGGUCAGAGAUUGGUAACUCUUCUCGAGCCUUGGCCGUUCGAUGAGCCGUGCGUUUCUGUGGUGCUCCACGGGUCAGCAUGGGUUCGACGCGUACGAUACGGUGUUGGGGAAGGUAGAGUGUGCUUCGGUACACUUGUUAUAGCCCUUGCACUCUAGUACGUGUUGGACUGAGGAUUGGUUGUACGCCACAUGGCAUGACUACGGUCAUUGUACAACUGGAUGCUGACGAAAUGGUUUCUAUCGACCCGUCUUGUAACACGGACCAAG